GUAUAUAGCUAUAGACUAUACACAUAUAUACCUAAGCACAAUCAGUUGUUGAAUUAAAAAAAUGAAAUAACUUUUCCCCAAAUAAUUGGUUUGCUCCUCAAGAAAUCAUAAACUAAUUAAACUUCUGGAUUAGAGAAAAAUGUAAAGUUAUUUACUUCAAGAAUCCACUUAAAAGUCAAAAUUUCUAUACAUUGUUUUUAGAAAAUGUUUGUCUCUUCAGCCUCUGGUUGGUCCCUCUGUGAUGGAGAAUUCAUAGGACACCAGGGCAGGCUGAACUCCUGGUUGUCUCUUCCCUGCUCCAUUAUUGCCAGCAUUCAUUUCCAUGGCCACUGGCAAUAAAUGUACCUCUUGUAGACACUUUGUCACCCUCAAUUCACUAUCCUUUUGUUCAAUUUAUUAUUAUUACUAUUUCACUAGCUUUAGGGGUACAAGUGGUUUUUGGUUACAUGGAUUUAUUGUAUAGUGGUGAAAUCUUGGCUUCCAGUGUUAAUUAAAUGAAGAUGUUAUCACCCAUAUUUCAGCCACAUCUCAUUUAUGAUGGUGGAUAUUGUCAUAAAGCCUAUGUGUUGUGAUUCCUCUUCAUCAAAUGACAUUACUAGAAGAUAUACCUUCCAAACAUAGACAGGCUGGGUUUUCCCAGGUCAUCCUUAAUAUUUGACUUUUAACAGAAUUCUGGGCAAAAAAUAUAUUAUCUAAAAUACAACCUAAGUUUUAAUGUGGUAUUAGAAGUAUUACAUGAUUUUCAAAUUUGAGCAGGGAGAUGAGGUUCCAGGUGACAGCAGGAAACAGCAGACUCCUGGCCAGAUGAGACUGAGUAAAACAAGGACACCAAUCUCUUGGAUAUGGGACUGCAGCCACUUGCUGGAAACCCACAAACACUGACCAAGCAAUUGCUGCUUUGGAGGAGGAACAAGCCGCUCUCCAUCCUUUACCACCCUGGGACACUGCCCUACAGAGAUUGUGUUGGGAGUUACCUUGUCUCCUCUGCUCUCCAGCAAGGCAGCCACUGGAAUAGAGUGGAGGCAACAGCAGGAUCAAAAGGAGGGAGGAGAGAAAGAUCAUGCACUUAUGUCCUUCUCUCCUUCCUACUGUGUCACCUCAGGCAAGCUAUUGCAGCAAAAUCAAAGCUAGGAGUAACAAAGUACCGCUGGAAGUCUUUGAUGUAAUUCAAUUUUAAGAAGAUUUUAAAAAUAUAAUCGAGCCCUUACAAUAGCUCAGUAAUGGUGUGGGAAGUGAGCAAGAGAAAUCUAUUGCACAACCAGGGAUGCAUCCGUUAUCCUGCGUCAAAGUUUUGAAACAGUUGUUGAACUAAAGACAAGUGAGACCUCAUACUCCCAGGAAUGUGCAGAUCAGAAAUCAAAGCAACAUCUUUGGCUGAGCUACAGAGAUAGAAAACUGGGAUUUCAAGUAGACUUAAAUGCCAUAUUUAGGAAGGGUUUCAAGUAAAUCACAUCUAAAUCCCAGACUUCAAUUAAAAG
RNAcentral lists this long non-coding RNA (1478 nucleotides) under Homo sapiens (human). Its description in RNAcentral is "HSALNT0074595". The record is from RNAcentral. Lineage: Eukaryota; Metazoa; Chordata; Mammalia; Primates; Hominidae.